GCAGGAGCAGCCGGUGGAGGAUCACCUUUGUGGAAGAUGCUCUUCCUUUGAUCUUGGCCUUGAAGACAGCAAUCGUUUUUACCUUCUGGAAAGCAUGUCCAGAGGCUGGCCCACUGAGUAAAGACUGUUGGAACCAUAAAUUUAUCCUGAGGAAUCUAAGAGAAAAGUCAGCAACAGAGGAAAAC
RNAcentral lists this long non-coding RNA (185 nucleotides) under Chinchilla lanigera (long-tailed chinchilla). RNAcentral's name for it is "lncRNA (ENSCLAG00000027917.1)". Lineage: Eukaryota; Metazoa; Chordata; Mammalia; Rodentia; Chinchillidae. The record is from RNAcentral.